This 2362-nucleotide long non-coding RNA is filed under the name Marmota monax (woodchuck). The record is from RNAcentral. Lineage: Eukaryota; Metazoa; Chordata; Mammalia; Rodentia; Sciuridae.
CGGGUCCGGGGGCUGAGCGAGUCUGGCGCGGUGGCCUGUCCGGGCCGUGGGGAGGGCCCGAGCGGGAGGUGGGAGCUGUCGGCGGGGCUCCCGGAGGGGUCGCCCCGGGUGCCCUGCGUAGUCCCUGUGGGCCGGAGCCUGGGGCCCUGGAAGGCGUCGCGAGGGGUUGCGGCCGCGGCCUUUCCGGCCUUUCGGGCUCGCCCGCCUGACGGAGGGGCGGCGCAGGACGCGCCCCCACGCCGCGGAGACCCUGGGAACUCGCCGGAGCUGAGAGACGGUGGGUUGGGUGCGCCCGAAAGAGUGGAAAUGGAGGCCUGGGUGCUGUCCUUUGGGGUCCGAGUACUGGAGGAGGCUGUCCCUGGUCCCCAGGGCUGGUGGAUGCCGGAGUCCGCGGGGUUGGUGGGUCACCUUGGUGCAGAGCGUGGAGCGAGUUCAGAAGGGGAGCGUGACUCGCAGCGGCACCUCACCAGGUGUGCCCCCCAGUUCAGGUCGUGGGCCCAGGGCGCCAACACGAGAAUGCUCCCCGUUACCGGCGUCCUCCGGGUCCUCGGCUGCUCUAGCGCCACCCUGUCAGCCCUUAGGAUUUUCCUUCCGGGGUCCUUGUCCCGUCCACCAGGGAAUUGGUCUGCGGAGGGACGCAGGGUUCGCACUUCACCUCGAAAUGCGGAGCGAUUCCGUCUCGUCCGUGGCGUAGUCACGUUCGAGUCAGUGCCAGAGACUAUUCCCAUCCUUCAGACUUCCUCUGUCACUGUCUCCAGGUCAUUAAAGAGGGGGACAAAUUGCUGCCCCUAGCCACCUAGCCCUUGUUCUUUGCUUGCUUUCCGCCGCGGGGUUAGAAUGGCUCACCUUUGAUGAGUGCCUCUGUGCCAGACCUUGUUGAAGACCUCUGGGAGUGUUAACAGCAAAGGCACGACUUUAUAAAGUGGGGACCACCUGUCCUUACAGAUGAGGAUGAGAAGAUAAGUAAUCACUAAUAAGUUGAAGAACCAGGAUUCAGAUCCAGGACAGGCUGACUCCAGAGCCCCUUCUAGGAUUUUUUUUCUUUCCUCUGGGGUGCUGGGGUUUGAACCCAGGGCCUUGCAUAUGCUAGCACAGGCUCCUCCACUGAGCUCCACUCCCAGCCCUCCAGAGCCCCUUCUGUACUGUCCCUCAGUAACUGUCUGCAGUAGGUAUUCCCAGCCACUUUUGACAACUGCAGAAACAAUUGAGACUGGAAAUAAUUUUUAAGAGUUCAGAUCUUCAAACUUCCACUAAGUGAGUUUGGAGAUUUAUUAAACUUUAUGGUUCUAAGUAAGAGUUCAUUCUUAUUAUCAUCAUUAUAAUAUCCUUUUAGAAGGCAAUUAAAUUUUGGGGAAAGAAGCCAGAAUUCAUUUAGAUACUGUCCUCUUCCUGAUUAAAAGAAUGGCUAAGGUUAUCGAGGAACUUCAUCAAAGCUGCAGUUUGCCUCAAAAGCAAAACGAGAACUUAGGUCUCAUGACAGUUUUGUUGGAACAGUUUUCUGCACUCAAGGAUGUUUUGUCACAUCAAAGGUAAGGCCUCUCUCUGGGAACAGUGGCAUUCUCCAAGGGAUUCAUCAUGUAGAAUCUGGACAAAUCCUGGUUUCUUGCAAGAGGGCAUAUUUUCUGGUGUCAAGCAAUUAAUUUGUGUGGUAGAGUCAGGAAGACUUAGGUUGUUGACUGAUUCUUACUAAUUAUGAGCUGUGUAACUACAUAAAAGCUCUCACUUGCCCAGAGACUUCCUUUGUAAAAUGGUGACAAUAUCCUCUACUUUGAUGAUUGUGGAGAUUAAAAGAGAUGAUUAAUAUAUGUAGCAUACCUCAUAAAUCUCUGUUAGUGAAUAGGUGGCUGAGAGAGAGAGGCACGAAGAGGGACUGGCUGUGUUCAACCUGAAAACCCAGAGCAGAGGGGAACCCUAGUUGUAGGCUACAAAUUCCCCUGUGGGUAUCUGGUCUGUGGAGAUGGAGUGGGGAUGGGGGCAAAAGCAAAUGCGGCUGAAGGUAAGGGAAGGUUUCUACGCUGUGAUUCCUAGUGCUACUUGGUCUCUCACAACUCUCUCCUCUUUCAGCUCUGUGCUUGAGGCAAGGCCCUUUUCCAAAUAAAGAGCCAGCAAGAAGUGGAGGUGACAAGAACUGAACUUGUUAAAGCCAUGUGCCCGGUGAGUUAAUGUUCCCUUUCUCCCCACUAAAGUCUCACUUUUCCUGAUUUUGUUCAGUUUGCUUUUUUCUGAAACUUGUCUAUUUAAGAGUUCCAGGCAGGCAUGGUGGUGCAUACCUAUAAUCCCAGCAACUAGGAGGCUGAGGCAGGAGGAAUGCAAGUUCAAGAGCAGCUUGAGCAACUUAGUGAGGCCCUAUCAAAAACAAACA